This 209-nucleotide long non-coding RNA is filed under the name Olea europaea (common olive). RNAcentral describes it as "long non-coding RNA (OEUR_LNC002256)". The record is from RNAcentral. Lineage: Eukaryota; Viridiplantae; Streptophyta; Magnoliopsida; Lamiales; Oleaceae.
GACCAUCCAAGUCCAGGACAAGAAAUUCAAGCAAAUAUUGAUCAUACAAGUCUUGAACGAAAAAUCCAAACAAACGACGAAAAAUCCAAACAAACGUUGACAGUCAGGUUGUGGUUACAGCAGUUGGGAAAAACUUUAGUACAGACUAUCAAGAAGAUUGGCCACCUCCAGCGAAAAAAGCCCUUUUCAAAUCUUCCAAUGAGAGCUCC